This 460-nucleotide ribosomal RNA is filed under the name uncultured bacterium. Its description in RNAcentral is "partial 16S ribosomal RNA". It matches the Rfam family "Bacterial small subunit ribosomal RNA", at positions 338 to 795 of the family's 1533-position model. The record is from RNAcentral.
CCUACGGGUGGCAGCAGUGAGGAAUAUUGGUCAAUGGACGAGAGUCUGAACCAGCCAAGUAGCGUGAAGGAUGACUGCCCUAUGGGUUGUAAACUUCUUUUAUAUGGGAAUAAAACGUUCCACGUGUGGGAUUUUGUAUGUACCAUAUGAAUAAGGAUCGGCUAACUCCGUGCCAGCAGCCGCGGUAAUACGGAGGAUCCGAGCGUUAUCCGGAUUUAUUGGGUUUAAAGGGAGCGUAGGUGGAUUGUUAAGUCAGUUGUGAAAGUUUGCGGCUCAACCGUAAAAUGGCAGUUGAAACUGGCAGUCUUGAGUACAGUAGAGGUGGGCGGAAUUCGUGGUGUAGCGGUGAAAUGCUUAGAUAUCACGAAGAACUCCGAUUGCGAAGGCAGUUCACUGGACUGCAACUGACACUGAGGCUCGAAAGUGUGGGUAUCAAACAGGAUUAGAUACCCCAGUAGUC